CCCCCCCCCUCUUUGUGUUAGACCUAAGACUCGAACCACAUUUGGUCCUUGAGAGACGACCUAGGGGUCAUUCCCUAGCACUAUACUGCAUUCCUAAUAUGCAAUCAAAUUUGUAUGGGCCGCGACACCCAUCAGUAACCAAUCAAACAUGUUUAAUUGACUUGAGCGUCAAAGGGCCUUUGACAGGUACCCUCCCGCUCAGCUUGAAGACUGAAGGUGAAAGAUUAAGAACCAUAGUAACGGAGACCCAAGAUAACAUUAAGAAAACUAACUUAAAAGUGUGAAGGAGUAGUUCUCGACCCCACAUCUGAAACAUUUUGGACGCACCGUGGGGCCCAAGGAUUAACGAAGAAACCCAAUGACGACCACGAGAAACAUAGACGAUCAACAGGAUCCUAUGAAGAUGUUAAGGGAGAUGCAAAUACAUAUGCAUAACCACGUGUGAUGUCGAACGUUCUCUCUAUCAUUAAAAGGGGAGGCGUUGCAUUUUCCAACACCUUGCCUCCUAACACAGUGAAUUGCUUCGCCAUCGUGCGUUCCUUGUUCGAUAGACAAUACACCUUCAGUCGAGCUUAGAGUUUGACACACCUUGCGAGCAAUAUACCUCCCUCGGACUCCCAAGUUCAACCAAUAUACCCCUCUAAACACGUUGAGAGCAAGGAUUUUGGAAGAGGCACUCAACGUAAACCUAUUCCCCCCG
Molecule: long non-coding RNA, 700 nt
Filed under: Vigna radiata
Lineage: Eukaryota; Viridiplantae; Streptophyta; Magnoliopsida; Fabales; Fabaceae
Description: long non-coding RNA (VRAD_LNC018218)
Source: RNAcentral